Molecule: ribosomal RNA, 253 nt
Filed under: uncultured bacterium
Lineage: Bacteria
Description: partial 16S ribosomal RNA
Rfam family: Bacterial small subunit ribosomal RNA
Source: RNAcentral
UACGUAGGGGGCAAGCGUUGUCCGGAUUUAUUGGGCGUAAAGAGCGUGUAGGCGGCCAGGUAGGUCCGUUGUGAAAACUGGAGGCUUAACCUCCAGCUGUCGAUGGAAACCAUCUGGCUAGAGUCCGGAAGAGGAGAGUGGAAUUCCUGGUGUAGCGGUGAAAUGCGCAGAUAUCAGGAAGAACACCCGUGGCGAAGGCGGUUCUCUGGGACGGUACUGACGCUGAGACGCGAAAGCGUGGGGAGCGAACAGG